Molecule: long non-coding RNA, 343 nt
Filed under: Salvia miltiorrhiza (redroot sage)
Lineage: Eukaryota; Viridiplantae; Streptophyta; Magnoliopsida; Lamiales; Lamiaceae
Description: long non-coding RNA (SMIL_LNC007512)
Source: RNAcentral
UGUGGUAUUGAAUAACUGAGAUAAUCUGAAAUGAUUGCAAUGGCCGGUUUCUCUCAAUGAAUGCGGAGAGUCAGGAUAGUUGAAAGAAUUAAGGACAAAGUUUACCUUUAUUUUGGAAAGUAUUGAACGCCUGACCCCUCUCUCUCUUCCUCACUUCUUCAACUGUUGAUGUUUUGAAUGAACUUGAAUGGCUGGAACAGUUUAAACAAUCGUUGUUUCCCUCAAUCAAUGCAGGCAGAGUUAUGGAGAAGAUGGAGGAAUUGUAGUCAAAGCUUACCUUGAAGUGGCAGAGCAUUGGAUUGAAGUCUCUGCUCUCCCAAAGUUUCUAAGUGUAGAAGAGAGG